AUGUCGCCUCGUGCUGCGGCCUCCUCCUCCAUUCCUCGACUCGGCCAAGGAGAUGGGGACCAAGAUCUGGGGCAGCACGCCACUAUGACAGACUGCAGGAAGCCUCUCUGCUCUCAUUCACCGGUGUGGCCACCAUUGGCCAGAUCUUCACUACCUUGGGUGCGCUCUUUCCUAGCCGCCCUUAGAUCUCUCUACUUCUCCCUAUUUCUUGUUCCAUCGACCGACGACCUCCUCGCUGAUCGAGCCUCAUGCCAUUGUGACGGGCUGACGGGAAGCCUCUUCGGAGGAGCCAUCUAUGCAUCAACAUCGAUGGGGUUCCCCGACCAAAUGAGGGUGCUGAUCCCCCUUCUCAUGCUCUCAAUCGUCGGCACGGUCACCAUCAACCAGAUCUUCACUACCUCUGGCAUGCGUAUGGGCCAAAUGUUGUCCCACCAGCCUCGACCAAGUAGAUCUAUUAUCCGCUCGUCCCUAUCACCCUCACCCAUCAUCGGCGCAUCUUGCCUCAUCGCUCUUGCUGCCGAAUCAAUUGUGGGAACUGCGAUGGUGUGCCGCUUAGAGGCCAAGCCCUACUGGUCAGCUACUCGCGCGUCGCGGCGGCCUCCUCCAGAUCCACCCUGCUGCACGACCACGAUUGACUCUGGUGAGAUCCGACAUCACUUUUGCCUCUCAAAUCCCAAGUGUUUGAAGUGGUUCUCAUACUCGCUAAUGCUAUCUGUGGAUUGUCCGAUUUCCAUUUUCCAUGCAGGUACCACAGGAUCAGCCCGGAAUCCGUCCGAGUCCCCAAUGGCGGCGGCAGCGGCAUCGGAGCCACCAGGAAGCCAGCAGAACCCGCUGUCACCCACACCAAGCAUGGACAAGCAUGACGGCGCCCCAGCCGUGGAUGCCGACAGGUCGAGCCUCACGUCCUACCUCGCCCGCGCCUCGCUCAAGCAGCACCAGCCACAAGGGCGUCCGUCGUCCUCAUCUGCUGCCAUCAUGAGGGACCACCAGCUGUACAAUGCCGCCACCCUCUCCUCUCAGGGACUCAACCUCGGGGACGGGCUCUACAACUUGGCCACCCAAGCCUCCGAUCCAUCCAACAGCCUCGGCGGAGUGGUCUACACCUUCGCCGCACAAGCCUCCCAGGCAUACAACAGCCUAGGUAGCGGGCUCUACAACCUCGCCGCCCAGGGCACCCAGAGAGGCGACCUCGGCAGUGGGCUCUACAAACUCGUCGCCCAGGCCACCCAUGUAGCCGACAUCGGCGGCAGGCUCUACAACCUUGCCGCCCAGGCCACCCUGGGAGGCGACCUCGGCAGCGGAAGCAGCCGCGAUGUCGAUACCGCCGUCGUCGAGGUCGCCUCCCCAAGUGACCUGGGCGGAAUGUUUGUAGAGCCCGCCGUCGAGGUCGGCUCCCUGGGUGGCCUGGUCGGCGAGGUUGUAGAGACCGCCGCCGAGGUCGCCUCCCUGGGUGGCCUGGGCGACGAGGUUGUAGAGCCCGUUGCCGAGGCUAUUGUAUGCCAAGGAGGCUUGUGCGGCGAAGAUGUAGACUGCGCCGUUGAGGCUGUUGGAUGGCUCGGAGGCUUGGGUGGCCAACGAGAAACAGGCGAGGUAGGACAUGAGGCUCGACCUGUCAACAUCCACGACCGGCGCGGCAUCGCGCUCGUGAGUGACGGCGCGGGUUCUGCUGGCGUGUCGCCGGGCCAACCUAAGGAUCAAGAAAUGCCUGAUGAUGCAAGGCCAGGCCCAGUCGCGCGCGAAGGCGGAGAACCCAAUGCGUCGCUGAGCGCCCGCGACCCGGUCAUCCUCGACACCUCGCAACAGAUUCCUCGUGCUUCCACCCUCUCGCCACUGCCACCUCGCGCCGCCACUCUCUCACAACGCAGAUCAUCUCCGGAGGACCCUCAUGUCGCUGCCGGCGAGCAGCAGCAGCCGCAACGGCAAGCGGCGGACAAGGCGCCUCGCACCACCGAGGAGGAGCCGGCGGAUUUUACCAAUAUUUCCCGGUUUGGUUGCCUGUCUUCUCUCACUGCUGAUUUUUACCAAUGCAGUACCGUGUGCGCUUAUUUUUGUGGAUUUCUGUUGAGCAGAUCUUCGAGUGCUUGGGUUUCGCACUUCAGUUUCUGCAGUUUGUACCAGAGGAUCAACCCAGAGUCCGUUCCAGUCCCAAAUGGCAGUGGCAGCGGCAGUGGCAGCUCCACCACCAGGAAGCUAACAGAACACGCACCAUCACCCACACCAAGCAUGGACGAGCGCGACGGGGCCACAGCCGUGGACGCUGACAACUCGAGCCUCGCGUCCUACCUCGCCCGCGCCUCGCUCAAGCAGCGCUGGCCAGGAGGGCGUCCGGCAUCCUCAUCCAUUGUCAUCGUGAGCGAUCACCCACUGCACAACACCUUCGUGCACUCCUCGCAGGGACUCAACCUGGGCGGCAGCCUCUACGACUUGGCAGCCCAAGCCUCCGAGGUAUCCAACAGCCUCGGUGGCGCGGUCUACACCUUCGAUGCCCAGGCCUCCCAGGUAUACAACAGCCUCGACGGCGGCGUCUACAACCUCGCCGCCCAGGCUACCCAGGGAGCCGACCUCGGCGUGGGCGGGAUCUACAACCUCGCCGCCCAGGCCACCCAGGGAACCAACCUCGGCGGCGGCAGCAGCAGCAGCCGCAUCGCCAUCGCCGCGCCGAAAGACCCCGUCCCGCCCAAGUGGGGCCACAAGAAGCACUCGUGCGCCCGCCGCGAGCCGCACGCGCUCGCGCCCACUCAACCUCCUGCACCCGUACCGGUGCCUACUCCUGCGCCAGCACCGGUGCCCACUCCCACCUCCGCGGCUGAGCCCCAGCUGAUCCCCGCUCAGGUGCAUUGCCGGGCCAUCUUAAGGCUGAAGAAACGCCCGGCGGCGCAAGGCCAGGCCCAGCCGCGCGCGGAGGCGGAGAAGCUGAUGCCGCCGCCGAGCGCCUGUGGCCCCGUCAUCCUCGACACCUCGCCACACACUCCUCGCGCUGCGACCGUCUCGCCACUGCCACCUCACGCCGCCACCAUCACACGCCGCCACCCUCUCGCAGCACAGGCAUUGCUCAGUUUAGGUCGUGUCCGUCGUCCUUGCUUACCGAUGAUGCCGAAAAUGACAGUGACCAGAUCAUCCGCGGAGGACCCUCAUGCCGCUGCUGGCGAGCAACAGCAAGUGGCGGACAAGGCGCCUCGCACCACCGAGCAGGAGUCGGCGCCCAAGGCGGCGGACAAGGCGGCUCACGCCAGCAACGGCGAGCAGGAGCCGGCGCCCAAGGAGGAGCCUAGGCAGCCGACGCUGCAGAGGCAGCAGCCACUGCGCCAGGCAUCGAUGAAGGAGAAAGGCAAGGCGCCGAUGGUGCAGGAGCCCCCAGCGGUGGCGCGACACGUCGCACAGAGGGCGGCGGCCGCCGCGGUGGCGGCGGUGGCCCGGCCGCCCGUGCCGUUCAUCGCGACCCAGCUCACCCGCAGAGAGAAGGAGGAGGACUGGUUCUCGAUGACCGGCGGCAGGCUGCCCUACCGCCCCCAGCAGUGCCACCCCAAGGCCGUAGAAGACAAGCUCCAGACGCUGCCUGAGGUGACCAGGGCCAGGUACAUGGUGUGCCAGAAGAAGCAAAAGAAGGAGGACGACCUGAGCUCUGAGAGGUGCGAUUCCGACGACGACACGGCGGGAGAAGAAAAUCAUUUUGGCGUCGUCGAUGCGGAGGAGCGUGGUAGCCGGAGGAAGAGGGGUUGA
RNAcentral lists this ribosomal RNA (3720 nucleotides) under Triticum aestivum (bread wheat). RNAcentral describes it as "partial small subunit ribosomal RNA". Lineage: Eukaryota; Viridiplantae; Streptophyta; Magnoliopsida; Poales; Poaceae. The record is from RNAcentral.